CCCUUAGAUGUUCUGGGCCGCACGCGCGCUACACUGAUGCAUUCAACGAGCCUAUCCUUGACCAACAGGUCCAGGUAAUCUUUGAAUCUGCAUCGUGACGGGGAUAGAUUAUUGCAAUUAUUAAUCUUCAACGAGGAAUGCCUAGUAGGCGCAAGUCAUCAGCUUGCGUCGAUUACGUCCCUGCCCUUUGUACACACCGCCCGUCGCUCCUACCGAUUGGGUGUGCUGGUGAAAUGUUCGGAUCGGCCGUUUGUCGCGGUUUCCGCGGCUCGUGGCUGAGAAGUUCAUUAAACCCUCCCACCUAGAGGAAGGAGAAGUCGUAACA
Molecule: ribosomal RNA, 325 nt
Filed under: uncultured eukaryote
Lineage: Eukaryota
Description: partial 18S ribosomal RNA
Rfam family: Eukaryotic small subunit ribosomal RNA
Source: RNAcentral